CAGUAUUUAUUUGGUCAGAAAAUGUUUGCAAGUAGGGCCUUUCCUUACAGAUUGAAGUUAGUUCCGCAGUUAUGUCAUUGCGACGUCCAAUAUAAAAAUGUGUAGGCAGAACAUCUCCAACGGAUGGUGUAAUCAAGUUGUAGCUACACCAAAUAGUGUGUUUGGGUGAAAACAUGGUAUAUAUGGUCUGUUAAAACAGGAAAUUAAUUGUGUUACUGGUGGGGAUUGGAGAGAGAGAGAGAAGCGUCGCCAUUUGUCUCAUGCUCAUUCAUCGCUUAGAUGUGUUUAAUAGUCUGUGACUUCACUUAAUUUUCAAUUUGCAUAAAACAUCUGAAACACUUAUGUCCCAAAGACGCAUAUGCAUGCAUUACAACUGACAACUCUGCCUCCAUAUUCAUAUCAACAUUUGUUUCGGCUCUGUCACUAAGACGCGAUGCUCUCUUCACAACCAGAGACAUUCAUUUAUACACAUCUCAAUUAACAAUUAUAAUCUCUUGACAGUAGAGGCUCCGUCAGAUUUCCUGUCUGCUCUCCACUGUUGACAAUGUGCGCGCACACGCACACACGCACACACACACGUCCCUCUGCGCCACCUUGUCAUCCAAUGAUAAAGGCCAUGGCUAAUUCCUCUGUCGUUGUCUGAUUACUAUUGUACAUGUAGACACGGAGAGACGACAAUCUUUACUGUCAUCACUGGUCACCGGAAUCAUUACCAGACUCUUUCUAAGUCAACGAGGAGCAAUCUUUAUGUGACCAUUAGUUUCUGCAGGCAUAAAUUGUUUUAAGCAGUGCUUUUUUCUGUGCCAAGCUAAUAGUGUUACACAGAGAAUUGUGUUGGCAAUACAAAAGCUGCCAUCGUCUGGGGUGAACUAAAUGCAUACAGUCUUUCAGAAUUGGACCGUUAUGAGUGUGGUUUAGUAAUGCUCUGAGACUAACUCUAAUAACCGGGGGAAAAAAUAUUAAUGAUUUUCAUGUAUUAUUUUUUUAAGCACAUAGUGGAUCAGAGAACCGGGAUAUAUCGUGUGAUGUGGGACUGAGUCUGAGUGGACAGGGAUCUGUCUCUCAGCCCCUGUCUGGCUCCGUCUGAAUCCUUUAAGAAUGCAUUCUUCCUUCCUUUAAGUAGUCACUGUUCUAAUGGCACGUAAGACUAGUGGUUACUUCCAGGUAAGGAUGAAUUUUGAGUCUUUAAAAAAGUGCUACUGGACAGCCCUGGCUUCAUAUUAUUGCACUUUUGUUUUACCACUAAGUCUAUCGUGACGCCCGGGUAGCAUAGACUGACACAGGGGAGUAUUUCCCUCCUUCAGCCCCCCACUGCACAGUCCACCGCUUUUGCUCAUCUGAGCUGUUCCCCAUUGAGCCAACUCGAUGAUAAGUCACCGAAUGGUGGAGGGGAACUUAAUCUUGGAUAUUUACCUCGGAGAAAUGUCACACUGGAGCCCUUAAGUGCCCGUCAGCAUUGAAACAUGUCAGACCAGCUGUGGAUUUG
Long non-coding RNA from Esox lucius (northern pike), 1486 nucleotides. NCBI's taxonomy places the organism in Eukaryota, Metazoa, Chordata, Actinopteri, Esociformes, Esocidae. The record is from Ensembl.